This 253-nucleotide ribosomal RNA is filed under the name uncultured bacterium. RNAcentral's name for it is "partial 16S ribosomal RNA". It matches the Rfam family "Bacterial small subunit ribosomal RNA", at positions 524 to 776 of the family's 1533-position model. The record is from RNAcentral.
UACGGAGGGUGCAAACGUUGCUCGGAAUCAUUGGGCGUAAAGCGCACGUAGGCGGCCUGUUAAGUCGGGUGUGAAAUCCCUCGGCUCAACCGAGGAAGUGCAUUCGAAACUAGCAGGCUUGAAUGUGGAAGAGGGUCGUGGAAUUCCCGGUGUAGAGGUGAAAUUCGUAGAUAUCGGGAGGAACACCAGUGGCGAAGGCGGGAUCCUGGGCCAGUACUGACGCUGAGGAGCGAAAGCGUGGGGAGCAAACAGG